GUCAGAUUGGCCGAAAAAAAAAGUGGUUAAGGCGCUAGAUUUAAGAUCUUGUUCCCGGUAAGGGAGCGUGGGUUCGAAUCCCACAUCUGACA
Schistocerca gregaria is the source of this 92-nucleotide non-coding RNA. The record is from the annotation of a RefSeq genome assembly. NCBI's taxonomy places the organism in Eukaryota, Metazoa, Arthropoda, Insecta, Orthoptera, Acrididae.